AAAACAACCUACCGCUUUGUCAACAACGCAGGAAAACUGAUAGUCAUUCCAGUUCCUGAGCUUUGACCGCCGCCUACUAAAUAUCACCCGCAAAUCAUACCUCAUUUACCUAAUUUCAAUGAAAAUUAGUUUCAUAGCCAUUUAUCGAUAAUUGUAUUUAUUUUUUCUCAGUAAAGCUAAGCUUUUAUGUGUGUUAAGUUUGUUCUCAAGGGACUUUUUUAUUGUUGUUACUUCAUGCACGUAUCGAAAAGUACCUAAAUAAAUCUCUACGGAAAAAUAUGAAAUAUAUGUGUAGGCUUGGUACUGAGAAUCAGCACGCGUACGGCGUAAUUGGAAAAGUUGGAGAUAAAAAAAAACGCAAUUUGAACGGCGAUAAUGGAAUAAAAUAUAUUAGUUAAAAACUCCGGGAGAACAAAAUACAAAUUGGAUGACCUAAUAACUAAGAAAAUGAAUGAUUGGGAUGAUGUUUUCCUUCCUGAAAUUCGGAUUCGAACCGAAAUUAUCUCUGCAUAUCGUAUAGCAAAUUAUACAGCAAAAUGCUAUACCAAACCCUUGUAAAAGCCACGACUAGAACAACAGAAAAUGUUGCUUCUGCAAC
Hermetia illucens (black soldier fly) is the source of this 598-nucleotide long non-coding RNA. RefSeq lists it as uncharacterized. The transcript is spliced from 3 exons. NCBI's taxonomy places the organism in Eukaryota, Metazoa, Arthropoda, Insecta, Diptera, Stratiomyidae. The record is from RefSeq and is a predicted model, not a curated record.